This is a non-coding RNA of Podarcis lilfordi (Lilford's wall lizard), 224 nucleotides long. NCBI's taxonomy places the organism in Eukaryota, Metazoa, Chordata, Lepidosauria, Squamata, Lacertidae. The record is from the annotation of a GenBank genome assembly.
CUCUUCAUGACCCCCUGGACCAGAGCACGCCAGGCACUCCUGUCUUCCACUGCCUCCCGCAGUUUGGUCAGACUCAUGUUUGUAGCUUCGAGAACACUGUCCAGCCAUCUCGUCCUCUGUCAUCCCCUUCUCCUUGUGCCCUCCAUCUUUCCCAACAUCAGGGUCUUUUCCAGGGAGUCUUCUCUUCUCAUGAGGUGGCCAAAGUCUUGGAGCCUCAUCUUCAG